AGAGUUUGAUCAUGGCUCAGGAUGAACGCUAGCUACAGGCUUAACACAUGCAAGUCGAGGGGCAGCAUGUUGGUUGCUUGCAACCAACGAUGGCGACCGGCGCACGGGUGAGUAACGCGUAUCCAACCUACCCUUGUCCAUCGGAUAACCCGUCGAAAGGCGGCCUAACACGAUAUGCGGUUCACAGCAGGCAUCUAACGUGAACGAAAUGUGAAGGAGAAGGAUGGGGAUGCGUCUGAUUAGCUUGUUGGCAGGGUAACGCCACCAAGGCUACGAUCAGUAGGGGUUCUGAGAGGAAGGUCCCUCACAUUGGAACUGAGACACGGUCCAAACUCCUACGGGAGCA
This 346-nucleotide ribosomal RNA is filed under the name uncultured bacterium. RNAcentral describes it as "bacterial SSU rRNA". It matches the Rfam family "Bacterial small subunit ribosomal RNA", at positions 8 to 349 of the family's 1533-position model. The record is from RNAcentral.